RNAcentral lists this ribosomal RNA (425 nucleotides) under uncultured bacterium. Its description in RNAcentral is "partial 16S ribosomal RNA". It matches the Rfam family "Bacterial small subunit ribosomal RNA", at positions 354 to 796 of the family's 1533-position model. The record is from RNAcentral.
GUGGGGAAUCUUAGACAAUGGGGGAAACCCUGAUCUAACCAUGCCGCGUGAGCGAUGAAGGCCUUAGGGUUGUAAAGCUCUUUCAGCUGGGAAGAUAAUGACGGUACCAGCAGAAGAAGCCCCGGCUAACUCCGUGCCAGCAGCCGCGGUAAUACGGAAGGGGCUAGCGUUGUUCGGAAUUACUGGGCGUAAAGCGCGCGUAGGCGGACCAGAAAGUUGGAGGUGAAAUCCCAGGGCUAAACCUUGGAACUGCCUUCAAAACUCCUGGUCUGGAGUUCUAGAGAGGUGAGUGGAAUUCCGAGUGUAGAGGUGAAAUUCGUAGAUAUUCGGAGGAACACCAGUGGCGAAGGCGGCUCACUGGCUCGAUACUGACGCUGAGGUGCGAAAGCGUGGGGAGCAAACAGGAUUAGAAACCCCUGUAGUCC